RNAcentral lists this non-coding RNA (75 nucleotides) under unclassified sequences. RNAcentral describes it as "RAGATH-18 RNA". It matches the Rfam family "RAGATH-18 RNA". Rfam says of the family: Actinobacteria, Firmicutes, Fusobacteria, Thermotogae (1 example). The record is from Rfam by way of RNAcentral.
CCCUCGGACUGUUAUAUCAAAUGAGAGUAGCUUAUAAGUUUAUUUAUAGCGAAAUUAGACAGGUUGAACAGGGAA